AUUGAACGCUGGCCGCAUGCCUUACACAUGCAAGUCGAACGGUAACGGGUCUUCGGAUGCUGACGAGUGGCGAACGGGUGAGUAAUACAUCGGAACGUGCCUAGUAGUGGGGGAUAACUACUCGAAAGAGUGGCUAAUACUGCAUGAGAUCUACGGAUGAAAGCAGGGGAUCGCAAGACCUUGUGCUACUAGAGCGGCCGAUGGCAGAUUAGGUAGUUGGUGGGAUAAAAGCUUGCCAAGCCGACGAUCUGUAGCUGGUCUGAGAGGACGAUCAGCCACACUGGGACUGAGACACGGCCCAGACUCCUACGGGAGGCAGCAGUGGGGAAUUUUGGACAAUGGGCGCAAGCCUGAUCCAGCAAUGCCGCGUGCAGGAUGAAGGCCUUCGGGUUGUAAACUGCUUUUGUACGGAACGAAAAGCCCUGGGUUAAUACCCUGGGGUCAUGACGGUACCGUAAGAAUAAGCACCGGCUAACUACGUGCCAGCCGCCGCCGUAA
This 498-nucleotide ribosomal RNA is filed under the name uncultured bacterium. RNAcentral's name for it is "partial 16S ribosomal RNA". It matches the Rfam family "Bacterial small subunit ribosomal RNA", at positions 30 to 523 of the family's 1533-position model. The record is from RNAcentral.